This 253-nucleotide ribosomal RNA is filed under the name uncultured bacterium. RNAcentral's name for it is "partial 16S ribosomal RNA". It matches the Rfam family "Bacterial small subunit ribosomal RNA", at positions 524 to 776 of the family's 1533-position model. The record is from RNAcentral. RNAcentral also lists the same sequence under 1 other name.
UACGGAGGGGGCUAGCGUUGUUCGGAAUUACUGGGCGUAAAGCGCACGUAGGCGGCGACUCAAGUCAGAGGUGAAAGCCCGGGGCUCAACCCCGGAACUGCCUUUGAAACUAGGUUGCUAGAAUCUUGGAGAGGUCAGUGGAAUUCCGAGUGUAGAGGUGAAAUUCGUAGAUAUUCGGAAGAACACCAGUGGCGAAGGCGACUGACUGGACAAGUAUUGACGCUGAGGUGCGAAAGCGUGGGGAGCAAACAGG